Camellia sinensis is the source of this 1496-nucleotide non-coding RNA. The record is from RefSeq and is a predicted model, not a curated record. NCBI's taxonomy places the organism in Eukaryota, Viridiplantae, Streptophyta, Magnoliopsida, Ericales, Theaceae.
CUCUCGCUCUCUCUCUCGCUCAUGUACCCAUCGUUGUCUGAAGGACUCCAUCAGUAUGAAUCUCUCCCUCGAUCUCUCAAUCUCUCUAUUUCUGUCUCGAUCUCUCUUUCUCUCUUGAACUCUCAAUCUCUCUUUCGUACAAUCUUGCUCUCUCUGUAUCUGUGUACAUAUCUCGCUGCAAUUUGCUUGAUUCAUCGCAGAGAAACCCUAUCUCUACUAGUAGACCGCAUUGAAAAGGUCUCUUGGAGUUCUCAAAUGCAGCAGAGUAAGCUCACCUAUCACGCAUUGUGUACAAAUUAGGUGAUUGCAAAUUCAAUCUCACUAUUAAAUCCAUUUGAUGUUAUCAAACUUUUAGACUCACUGAUAUCUAUAAUCCAUCUGAUGUCUCUGUAAUCCAGCUCUCUUCUCUGCUCUUCGGGACAAUUUACAACUUUUAAGGCAGCGAUAUUACUAUGCCACAUGGAAAGCUGAUGGAACACGAUAUAUGAUGCUAAUUACUUGGGAUGGGUGUUACGUGAUUGAUAGAAAUUUUUGUUUCCAAAAGGUUGAGUUGCGGUUUCCUUGCAAAAGCACAAAUAAGGGUAUAUUUGAGAAGACGCACCACUAUACAUUACUUGAUGGAGAGAUGGUAAUUGACAUUGAGCCAAAGACGCAAAAGCAGGAGAGAAGAUACCUUAUUUAUGAUCUGAUAGCAAUUAACCAAGUGUUUAUUAUGGAGAUAUUAUAAUGAGAACUGCUAUCAAUAUAGGACUGUGAUAGACAACAUAUCAAUGCUGAUUCUGAUGCAGUAGGGAGCUGCUGUGACUGAUGAGUAAACUAUUGAGAUGCCGUUGAGCUACUGCUGUGACUGAUGAGGCUUGGAAUGAGUGAACUAAUGAAGCUUGGACUGAGGGAACUGUGGAAAUGCAGAGUCAGUUACAGAGGCAGUUACAGAUGGAAUCUUAUCAUGAUCAAACCUCGAAACAGUGAGCGUGACUUUUUGUACAAGAGCAGAAAUCCAUACUACAGAUACGACUUGGAGUCAUUCAGGGUGAGGAGAAAGGAUUUUUAUUUGCUGUCUACAGUUACUAAGCUUUUAAAGGAAUUUAUUCCAAGACUUUCACAUACAGCAGAUGGUCUUAUAUUCCAGGUGUCAGAUGCAUCUAGUGGGCAGCAAGCUUCAAAAGAAAAUGAAUAGGUUGAUAACUUGGAAUUUCUGAGGGAAAUGAGGAUCAACCCAAUAAAGGUUGCCAAAGCAUUAGGGGAAGUGUUUGCUGAAAAUAUCUUGAUGAAUAUGGGUGCAAGGUGUUAUGCCAGUUCAUUGAUAGAGUGGAGAAACACCCGAGCAAGAAAAUUGAUGAGAAGAUUGGCCAGUUCUGGAUUGUAUUUUUUUCAUAAAAGAACUUUUUUCAAGUUUUUAGUUGUAAUAACUUUUACAUGUAGCUCAAAUUUUGAGACUCAAAUAGAAUGUUCAAUAAAACUAUAAUGCUAUACUGUCUGAAUUCUUGUCAUUGUUA